RNAcentral lists this transfer RNA (83 nucleotides) under Schistocephalus solidus. It matches the Rfam family "tRNA". Rfam says of the family: Transfer RNA (tRNA) molecules are approximately 80 nucleotides in length. Their secondary structure includes four short double-helical elements and three loops (D, anti-codon, and T loops). Lineage: Eukaryota; Metazoa; Platyhelminthes; Cestoda; Diphyllobothriidea; Diphyllobothriidae. The record is from Rfam by way of RNAcentral.
GGACUCGUAGCUCAGGUGGGUAGACCGUUGGCUGUGCUAAAGCCUUCCUCUUGCUGUCGUGGGUUCGAAUCCCACCGAGGCCG